Molecule: ribosomal RNA, 937 nt
Filed under: uncultured bacterium
Lineage: Bacteria
Description: bacterial SSU rRNA
Rfam family: Bacterial small subunit ribosomal RNA
Source: RNAcentral
AGAGUUUGAUUCUGGCUCAGAAUGAACGCUGACGGCGUGCUUAACACAUGCAAGUCGCACGAGAACGCUUCAGCUUGCUGAGGCUAGUAAAGUGGCGCACGGGUGAGUAACGCGUGGGUAACCUACCUCCGAAUCGGGGAUAACCCGCCGAAAGGCGAGCUAAUACCGGAUAACAUCCUUUUGGCUUCGGCCGGGGGGAUCAAAGGUGGCCUCUCCAUGGAAGCUACUGUUUGGAGAUGGGCCCGCGUCCCAUUAGCUAGUUGGUAGGGUAAUGGCCUACCAAGGCGACGAUGGGUAGCUGGUCUGAGAGGAUGAUCAGCCACACUGGAACUGACACACGGUCCAGACUCCUACGGGAGGCAGCAGUGAGGAAUUUUGCGCAAUGGGGGAAACCCUGACGCAGCAACGCCGCGUGAGUGAUGAAGGCUUUCGGGUCGUAAAGCUCUGUCAAGUGGGAAGAACCCCCGUGGUGCUAAUACCACCAUGGGCUGACGGUACCACUGAAGGAAGCACCGGCUAACUCCGUGCCAGCAGCCGCGGUAAUACGGGGGGUGCAAGCGUUAUUCGGAAUCACUGGGCGUAAAGCGCGCGCAGGCGGCCGUUUAAGUCAGAUGUGAAAGCCCGGGGCUCAACUCCGGAAGUGCAUUUGAUACUAUUCGGCUUGAGUAUGGGAGAGGGAAGUGGAAUUCCUGGUGUAGAGGUGAAAUUCGUAGAUAUCAGGAGGAACACCGGUGGCGAAGGCGACUUCCUGGACCAAUACUGACGCUGAGGCGCGAAGGCGUGGGGAGCAAACAGGAUUAGAUACCCUGGUAGUCCACGCAGUAAACGGUGAUCACUAGGUGUAGCGGGUAUUGACCCCUGCUGUGCCGAAGCUAACGCAUUAAGUGAUCCGCCUGGGGAGUACGGCCGCAAGGUUAAAACUCAAAUGAAUUGACGG